Molecule: RNA transcript, 7148 nt
Organism: Vollenhovia emeryi
Lineage: Eukaryota; Metazoa; Arthropoda; Insecta; Hymenoptera; Formicidae
Exons: 17
Source: RefSeq, a predicted model, not a curated record
CGUAGAAAAAACUACUAUAUAUAUGUAUAUAUAUAUACUAGUGGUAUCAAUAAAAAAAAUUGUUACCACUAGCUCGAUGGCAAGAGACCUUGGAAAAAGCGUGCAGUCUCCAAGUCCGCUCGAAAGCUCUCAACUUUGGUCUCGAUCGAGUAAUUGGAGCCUUCGUGGAUCCAACUCGAAGGCCGACAACCCCUGUGCUUACGAAUGGCUGGGCCAGCCGAACGUUGAGAAGGAAAGAGGUGACGAGGACAGUGCGCGACCUCGAGACCGAUGGCCAGGUCUGGUCGGAUAGAAGGUUGCAGAUCCCCGAAGCGGAAGCGAAUACACGCUAGAUAGACACACGAGUAGAUGACGACGUGGAGGAAGAUGACGGCUAGCAGUGCCGUGUAGCAUGGCUGGGAGAACCCAGGGUAUAUGUACGGCGUAUUAAUAGCCAAGUAUAGAGCAGUGGUGGGGCCGCGGUUGCUCGCGGGUGAAAAUAGAAAAGAAUGUUUUUGGAAUCCAAUUGGACUUGGUUGGCAGAACGAUGGGGCAAUAUGGCCGACUUGGCCGAGCGGGUGGACGAUCUGAUAUGCAGUUUCGACUCGACUGGUGAAACGACCAUGGAUACGCUGUCGAUGCUGAUAUUCGGCUGGAUGUUGUUUGGUCUGGUGGUGUUGUGCGUUGGCAAAUACGUGUACAAUCGUUUUGUGCUGAACGACCUCACCGCCGCUACCACCGCCGCCACCGCUUCAUCAUUAUCGUCGUCGUCGUCGACGUCGUCGUCGCAGCUUGGCAAGGAUGGCCAUGUCCGUCACGACGAGAGUGUCGUGACGACGGGUACCGCUGGUACCAUCGUUGGAAAACUAUUCGACAAGUCGAAAUCGGUGUCACCGUCCUCGUCAUCGCUCGCGAGGGCUGGUACCGGUGGUGCAGGUGGCGGUGGUACCGUUAGUGGCGGCGGUACCGUUGGUGCUUCUGCUGGUGGUAGUAGUGGUGGCGGUGGCGGUGGUGGUGGUGGUGGUGCCGGUGCCGGUACCGCUACCGGUAUCGGUACGGUAGCAGGUGCGAGAGCACCAUCGCCGGGAGGCUACGUGCCGCCCACGCCGCCGAUCAGGAAACGUCUCACCCGGAAGACCUCCGGUGCUCUCAUCAGCCCGUCCCGAAGUUCCAGGGCGCUGCAUCUGCCGACCGCGACCGGCGCGGACGUCGAGGCCGUGCGUUGGGUCAACGAACUGAUCGUGUGGCUUCACUACGACCUCGUCAUCCUCAACGAACUCUUGGCCACUUGGGUGGUUUCCCUUAACCAUUUCACCGCCGGCUCUACCGACGAGCACGGAGUUGGCGUCGAAUUCGUUCGCGUACUUCCAGAGACUUAUCCGCCAACCUUGUCAAAUAUCUUCUGUGAAUGCGAUUCGAAGGACGAUGUGACUAUCACAUGCGACUGCGAGGCUACUCCAGCUUUGCAACUGAAAGCAUUUCGGCAACGAGGGGAUAAGGUAGAAGUUAAUCACUAUCGGGUCAAUGUCAAUCGUUUCCGUGCUCGCCUCAACGUCGUCUGCAUCACCGAGAAGCUGCAAAUCGAUCUGAAAUGCGACGGUUGGCCAGAGGUAAAGAUUUCUCUGGCAGCGGUAGGCACAAUAAAGAAAGACUUGGAUGAAAGCCAGUUGCAAGAAGUGGUGUCGGAAAUUGUGGUGGGUGCCCUGCGAGGCACCAACGUUCACCUCAAUCUUUCUCAAUAUCCCACGUGUCCUCGAUUAUGGAGAGAGCCGCCUCCUCAGCCAGGCUUCUCAUAUCCUAUACAUUACGACAGUGUAAACGCAUCGAAUUCGAUGAUACCGCAACCACCGCAUCAACGCCUUCAAGGACAUACCGCACCCUCGCCUACAUCAAUUCAAUAUGUGCCUGGCGAGAGACGUUUGCUCGUCAAAGUUGUGAGGGCUAUCGACCUCGGCGGCCAACAAGGAGCCAAGGAGCCUUAUUGCGUUGUGGAGUUGGAUGAACCGCCGCAAAAGAAUCAAACCUCUAUAAAGAGAGAUACCAAAAAUCCACUAUGGGAUGAGGCGUUUUUAUUCGAUAUAAGCCACAAUACGACCGAAGUGUUAUUAGAAGUGUUUGACCGUGUCAACAAAAGUCAACGAUUUUUGGGGCUAGGAAUCGUAGGUGUCGAGGAACUCCUCGCUAAUCCGAGCCAGCGGCAGAUCAUACCUCUUCAGGCGCGACCAUACGAGGAAGAUGACAUUACAGGCACCCUCACGGUGGAGUUUUUGUUCAUCGAGGGUGCGGAGGUACCACAAAUUGGGACCAAGCCUUAUAAAGUCAAGGAGGCGAUAAAGCCAGUCUCGCCGACCCGUUCCUACAGCCAAACAAAUGUCAUCACCAGCAAUAAUCUCAACUACAACAACGGUAACAGUACACUUAUCUUGUACGACUCUGCCGCACAGUCGGAAGGGGACUAUUUAACGAAUGGCAACGUUGUGGACUCACCAUAUAAAAGUGGGCAAACGAAUGGUAACAAGGGGACCUUGAUCGUACACAGUCAGCAAAGGCAACCAGAGCGGCAGAUUGUGAAGGUCACUCUGACGGAGAAUGGAAACUGGCAAGAGAUAUCCCUGGAGCACGGAACAAAAGAUGUCAAUGCUGUCUCGGGACCAGAAAGCACGCCUAAUUCCUCCAAUUCAGAAGAGAGAGGAAGGACACGAAGGAAACGACGUGAUUUCUUUGGUACCAUAAAGAAACGAUUGAGUCGAUCCAAAACGAGGAGUAAAUCAGUGGGUCCUGAGGGAGAGUUCAAUCAUGAAGACGCUCAUUCGAGAUCUAUAUCCGCCGACAGGGCUCGUGAUCCUGGAUCUGCUCAUCUGUCAGUACCAGAACAAUCGAGACGAUCGAGUCUGAGCGAAGCCUCGGGUGUAAGCGGAACAUCCACGAGAACGUACGUCAAUGAAGCUUCCACGCUCGUUCUUGAAACUUUGGAGAACGGUAUAAAGAAACACUACCUCGUACCACUUUCCCUCGCACAGAAAAGUAAAUGGAGGAAAAAGGGGACAAAGCUGCACAUAUUUAACGAUCAUACAUUUAUCGCCAAACACAUGGCGGGAGGGACAGUUUGCGAAGUAUGCAAAAGAACCCUCGCACGAAGGCUCGGUAAACAGGGCUACGAAUGCAGAGACUGUCAGAUGAAGUGUCACAAACAUUGUCACGUGAAAGUCGAUGCGAUGUGUCCCACAUCCACUAUUCAGAGCAUCGAGUUGUUGUACAUCAAGGUUCCGCCACUCGAACGAAAGCCUUCUAUGCUUCUGUGUUCGCGGUAACGCAGACGCGCGAUACGUUACAUUUCGGACAUGCGACUUAUUUUUUAACAUAACAAAAGAAAACGACGAUUGUAAUCCACUUGUAAAACUUUCAUGCCUUUCACAUUUUCGUUGCUCACAUUUCCGAGUCGAAGAGAGAUCAUUUCAGCUAUCAAUAUUCUGUCAAUAUUCUGCAAAUACAAUUUUACAAAGAUGGAACGUUUGCAUUCACACAAAUGGAAUUAGAUCUUAAUGUGAAAGUUCAUUGAAUUUUAUUUCAUUUAAUAUACGUUUUAAUACACUGAUAUUUUGCAUUGAUCGUUACGUUUUUUACGUGAUAAUAAUGAAGUCGAUCUCGAAAGUAGAAUUUUAAACAUACGCUAUAAUACGCGUCAAAUUUACCAAACAUCUCCGUCAUCUACAUAUAUCUUUUUUCUAGCUGUCUUGUUCCAAUAAUAUGGUAAUGAUGUAAGUUUACACACUAUUGAUCAUUGAUCAUCGAAUUAUUGAGCAUCUAAUUUCGUCCGGGGAAAGAGUCUAAUUCGGCUGCCUUCUUAUUAAAAUAUGCUAUAAAAAAAGUAUGUGAAAUUACAUGAGCAACAAGUGUAAAAAUUGUGCGCUUUAACGGAAAUGUGUAUGUAUACAUUUGGGUAUAUGCAAGGUUGGGAACGUUACCUUAAAAAACUAACGCGUUACCGUUACCGUUACUUUUUGUAAAAAGUAACUCGUUACCAUUACUCGUUACUGAUUUUAAAAAGUAACGCGUUACCGUUACCGUUACUUAGAAAGUAACGAUUCGUUACCUUUUUCGUUACUUUGUUGAAAUGCUGAAGUAAGAUGUUAAUUGUAAUAUUACAUUAUUAUUAUUAUUUAAUAAUCAAUAUUAAAACUUAAAACUUUAAACUAGUUUCUAUAUAGCAAGUCAUCGAGCAUACAGAAUUUUCGUAUACGUUUCUUCUUCGAAUGAAUUCAAGAAUCGGGCCCCAGAAUCAAGACAUCGAUAAAUGUUUACAGCGCAUUCUCAUGUGACAUUGACUUCCAGCGCCCAAUAUCGGAAUAUUUUUGUCCAAUCAAGAAUAGUGCGCGCGACCAGCUCACAAUCUAUUGAACAGAUAUAAAAGAUAAUAGGGAACUAAAGUAACGAUAAAAGUAACGGCUGAAUUCGUUACCGUUACUGUAAAAAUGUAACGACGUUACCGUUACCGUUACAGACAUAAAAAAGUAACGAUCGUUACCGAAAAAAAGUAACGAAAAUGGUAACGGCGUUACAAGUAACGCGUUACUUCCCAACCCUGGGUAUAUGCAAGUGUAGGUAUUCUGCAAACAACGAAUCAAUUGGAAUUCUAUUGUUCGCAGGAUGCGCGUCACGCGGCGUGCGGUAUGUGACGUGUACAGUUUGCCGACGACUGUGUAAAAUAAUUAAGUAACGAUAUUAAUGGUAAAUAAUACUAAUCACGAUAACAAUCCUUACGAUAGUAAUAACCAUGAGAGUAAAAUUAGUCAUAAUAACGAUAGCGGGGGAAGCAAUGGCAAAAAUGCGCCCCAGGUUAUUACACCUGAUUCUGCCAAAUUCAUUUAACCUUUUAAUUACGUUUAGCACAAACACUUUUCAAUCGUACCUGGAUAGUUUUGCUUUAAUGCAAUCUACGCGUUAUCAAAAAAAAGAGAAAAAGAAAAAGAAAAACGACGAGGCUGCUUUGUUUUGAUUACCGCGAUGAUUUCACGAUGACGAAAGGCAAGUCAUUUUAAUAAAAAAAUGUAUUGCAGAUCCAAGUACAUAUUUGAAUACAUAAGUAAACGUUAAUGGUGCAAUUCAAUCGAUGAUAUUAGAAAUUUUAUCCAAUGCCGGUUUAUAUUUCUCACACCUUCUCUCGUAUAUAAAAAGAUAAAGCUAUCCAACUUGUUAAAAAUAUGUUACGAAUAUAUGAAGAUAUAGUGGAUUGCUAAUAACACGUUGUUCUCAAUCUAUUGUAAAUUAUAUUCAAAUUCUUUCCAUUUGGUGCAUUUUUUAAAUUAUCGAAAUAAUUAAGCCUGGGUAAUUAAAAGUUUUUAGAGUUUCAGCAAUUUCCCAUGAUGUACUUUGUGCAAACAAACGACGCGAGAGGCGAAUCAGAAAAAAAAAACAUUAAUUUACUACGAUGAGAUUAUAUGCUUAGAUUUAUACAUCUCGCUAUAACGAACAUUGUCAAAGUACAAAAUGCAAUCAAAAUGCAAAGAGAAAUCAACAUCAAACUUAGGCACGUUAACAGUAUGUCGAUAUACAUAUAGCGAUAUAUUUACACAUAGAAAUGUGACCUUAUUGUUAGAAAGUAAUACUAACUUUUGGCGAAAAGUUUAACGAUGAAAGCGAACAUGAAUUUUUUCCCUUAUUGUAUUUUUGUAUCUACAUUCGAAAGAAGGUAUACGCAGCGUCGUAAUUUCACCGAUAAUCUAUAUAAUCAGAAUUAAGCUACUAGCAAACCCCACCGACGAGUCUCGUAGUCGGCUAAUGACGAAGAAAUUGGUGGUAAAAGCAGCAAUUAUACAAAUACGAUCGAAAGAUAUGCAUCGUAUAAAUGGAAUUCAAUUUUUCCUGUAUAUACAGGCUGUGAAAUAUACUAUUAGCAGAUUUAUGAUUUCACGCGUGGGUUCUAUCCACUCGUGGGCGAAUCUAACUUUUGAGUUUAGAAAAGUAAUAUUCUAUACAUUUGCAUUCAUUGUACAAUGUUUUUUAUUUGAAGAAUUAAUAUUGAAGACACAACUAUUAUUUAACACGUGACAAUUUAAUUUUAUUAAUUUAACAUGCCACAAUACGAGAGAGAAAGAGACAGAGAUUAAAUUGAUAAAGAACGUGUAUUUUUAUAUAUAAUAUAUCUUCAAUAUUCCACAAAUGCGAGAAAUCUCAAUAAUUCUUUACUACUAUAUAUCGAGAGUAAAAUUAGAAGGAAAUAUACGCACACACGUAUCUCAUGUAUAAAAGUUUCCCUUUCCAUCGAGGCUCAUCUUUCUUCUUCUCCCUGUGGAUUUGUCAGCUAUUUAUUAGAAAGCCAGCCAUUACAGCUUUACAAUCAGCAGUUACUAAUAAUUACUAGAGCUAACUUAAACUUGACACCACGUGUCAAUUUUUAUACAAAUAACGAAUAUCGUUUGAAAGCAUAGUUGAGCGUGCGUAAUCGAAAGUACAAUGACCCUGACUUUGCAAAGCAAUUAAUUAAAUCGUAUUAAGACAAUUAUAUACGAUGGAUAAACUUGUUCUCGCUGGCGCUCGGCAAUACGCACAUCUUCUUUCCUAUCCUUUACCGCGUUUAUUUACCAAAGACCAUCAGUCGCGUAUCGUAUACUUAUCCAAGUGUCGAAAUAAUUGUCAAGCAUUGAUAUAUAAGCGACAACGAUUGUGCCUAUGAUGUGAUGUUGUUGUAUAAUAAUAACAAUAAUAAUAAUGUUGUACACUCUUUUCAGACACAAUAGAAAAUCUAUUUAUGGACGAGAUUUCCAAUUGUUCCGCAAAAGCUUCUGACUCUCAAUCCAACAUCGAUCAUAUCCUCGUGUACAGAACUAGAUUUAGACCAUGUGAGGAAGCGAGGGGCAAACACAAAUGAGCGACUUGAAUAUCGUAGCGCCGCGCAAUUCAUCUCCGUCGAAGUCAUUUGUUUGCUCAUUCUUGUUUGUUCGCGCUCCUUCACUUGAUCCAAAUCAGAUUUUAACACGAUACGAAGCAAUUAUGACGAUGUUGUUAUUAUGCAUUGCCGAUUUAUAUUAUAUAAUAAUACAAUUAUAAUUAUAUUAUACAUACAAUAUAUACAUAUAUAAAUAACGUUACUAUUAAUAAAUUACAGUGGAUGACGAUAAGAAGAUAAUUGUAUAACUUAAUGUUACAGAAAGUAAUAUAUUGUGAUUCUA